RNAcentral lists this unclassified non-coding RNA (1269 nucleotides) under Drosophila yakuba. RNAcentral describes it as "GE26205". Lineage: Eukaryota; Metazoa; Arthropoda; Insecta; Diptera; Drosophilidae. The record is from RNAcentral.
ACCACCCCUACUGUUAACUCACACAGCUCAGUUCUGUUAAUUAUUGGAAAGUUUUUUUAAUGGAACAAUUUUAAUUAAAUUACAAAAGUUGUUUACCCGCUGCGGCAAUUGGACACCCAGAAAGUAAAAACCGAUUAUUGCUCGGGAACAGCAAUUGCAAAGACCCAGAAUCCGGGACAUCGGAGGCAGCGAGCCGCGACAAGGGAGUACACAAAGAGAGAUAGCCAGUGCAAAACCCGUUUCUUCCAACCGAUAAAAGGGGCGUCUAUAUCUCUGCCGAUCCGGAGCCCCUGGCAUUGCACCACUAUGAUGGUUGAGUCCGAUGGAACCGCCGACGCCACCCGCCGCCUGAACGUGAAGAAGCAAACGCUGGACGAUGCGUACGCCGUGCCCGCCAACUUCCUGGAAAUAGAUGUGGUUAAUCCGCUGACCACCAUGGCGGCGGGCAAGAAGCGCUACACGGACUACGAGGUCCGGAUGCGGACCAAUCUGCCCGUCUUCAAGGUUAAGGAGUCCAGUGUGAGGCGACGCUACAGCGACUUUGAGUGGCUGCGAAACGAACUGGAGCGGGACAGCAAGAUUGUGGUGCCACCGCUCCCAGGAAAGGCUUGGAAGCGGCAGAUGCCCUUCCGCGGCGACGAGGGCAUCUUCGACGAAAGCUUCAUCGAGGAGCGACGCAAGGGACUGGAGGCCUUCAUCAACAAGAUAGCCGGACAUCCGCUGGCGCAGAACGAGCGCUGCCUGCAUAUGUUCCUGCAGGAGAACGUCAUAGAUAAGAACUACGUACCCGGCAAGAUUCGCAACACAUAAGCAGCAUAAUCCGGCGCAAUCGAAACCCCAUAACCAUAGCAAUGCAAUGAAGCAAAAACUCGAACGAACAAACCCGCUACGAAAUCUUUAGGGAAACCAUGUGAAUGUGUGUGCUUGGUCAGAUUGGAGGAGUAUGGAGCAGAGGAGCGACGAUGUAGGUUGAAGUAGUAGGGAUCUGUUAUGCGACGCGACAAGAGGCGGGAAGUGCUGCUGCUCAGUUAAUGUUGAGCCCCUCUCACCCCCCGGGGAUUAGUUAAAAACCAGCAUUGGGAAUUUUUAAUGCUAAAUUCAAGUUUAUAUGUGUACAUAAGACAUGCCUACCACGCCCUCGCUAAAAGAGUCUCGAAAGUAGGAGCAGCCCCUCCCAUUUUCCCGAUCCUCAGUUUCUUCGUUCUGAACCAUUGCAGCGGUAAUGAAGCAGCAAAUAAAAUAAGGGAGCCAUCCUGACCCCAAAAUCCA